Molecule: ribosomal RNA, 122 nt
Filed under: Clostridium sulfidigenes
Lineage: Bacteria; Bacillati; Bacillota; Clostridia; Eubacteriales; Clostridiaceae
Description: partial 23S ribosomal RNA
Rfam family: Bacterial large subunit ribosomal RNA
Source: RNAcentral
GAGAUUUCCCAUAACGUAAGUUAGUAAGACUCCUGGAAGACCACCAGGUUGAUAGGUGAGGGGUGUAAGCAUGGUAACAUGUUCAGCUGACUCAUACUAAUAAGUCGAGGGCUUGAUCUAAA